UUAUCCGCGAGGAUUGGUCUGAAGGAAGCCGCUAGCAAAUUUGCGAGCUGAUGAACAAGAACAUCAUAUGAGGCGUAGGCUAGAGGUGAGUUGGCACAAGACGACGAAACCAUGUGAUCUAAUGGCCACCGUAAAUGAUGCUGCUGUGCAAAGAAAGUUCAUGUU
Non-coding RNA from Shewanella baltica OS223, 165 nucleotides. Lineage: Bacteria; Pseudomonadati; Pseudomonadota; Gammaproteobacteria; Alteromonadales; Shewanellaceae. The record is from Rfam.